CCACCUGACCCCAUGCCGAACUCAGAAGUGAAACGCCGUAGCGCCGAUGGUAGUGUGGGGUCUCCCCAUGCAAGAGUAGGGAACUGCCAGGC
This 92-nucleotide ribosomal RNA is filed under the name Escherichia coli. Lineage: Bacteria; Pseudomonadati; Pseudomonadota; Gammaproteobacteria; Enterobacterales; Enterobacteriaceae. The record is from RNAcentral.